GUUCUGGUAGCUCAGUGGAUAGAGCGAUCGCCUCCUAAGCGGUAGGUCGCGGGUCCGAUCCCCGCCCAGAACACCA
This 76-nucleotide transfer RNA is filed under the name Rickettsiales bacterium. Its description in RNAcentral is "tRNA-Arg". It matches the Rfam family "tRNA". From Rfam's summary of the family: Transfer RNA (tRNA) molecules are approximately 80 nucleotides in length. Their secondary structure includes four short double-helical elements and three loops (D, anti-codon, and T loops). The record is from RNAcentral. Lineage: Bacteria; Pseudomonadati; Pseudomonadota; Alphaproteobacteria; Rickettsiales.